GAUGAACGCUGGCGGCGUGCCUAAUACAUGCAAGUCGAGCGAACGGACGAGAAGCUUGCUUUUCUGAUGUUAGCGGCGGACGGGUGAGUAACACGUGCAUAACCUACCUAUAAGACUGGGAUAACUUCGGGAAACCGGAGCUAAUACCGGAUAAUAUUGUGAACCGCAUGGUUCAACAAUGAAAGACGGUCUUGCUGUCACUUAUAGAUGGAUCCGCGCUGCAUUAGCUAGUUGGUAAGGUAACGGCUUACCAAGGCAACGAUGCAUAGCCGACCUGAGAGGGUGAUCAGCCACACUGGAACUGAGACACGGUCCAGACUCCUACGGGAGGCAGCAGUAGGGAAUCUUGCGCAAUGGGCGAAAGCCUGACGGAGCAACGCCGCGUGAGUGAUGAAGGUCUUCGGAUCGUAAAACACUGUUAUUAGGGAAGAACAUAUGUGUAAGUAAAUGUGCAUAUCUUGACGGUACCUAAUCAGAAAGCCACGGCUAACUACGUG
RNAcentral lists this ribosomal RNA (497 nucleotides) under uncultured bacterium. RNAcentral describes it as "partial 16S ribosomal RNA". It matches the Rfam family "Bacterial small subunit ribosomal RNA", at positions 28 to 507 of the family's 1533-position model. The record is from RNAcentral.